GAGCGGAUUUAUAUAAUAGAGAAUCUUUCGGGGUUAAGGAAAAUAUAGGUCAGCGGCGGACGGGUGAGUAACACGUGGAUAACCUGCCCUAUACAGCUGGAUAACAAUUAGAAAUGAUUGCUAAUACAGCAUAAGCUUACGUUACCGCAUGGUAGAGUAAGAAAAGAAAUAUCGGUAUAGGAGGGGUCCGCGGAUGAUUAGCUAGUUGGCGGGGUAACGGCCCACCAAGGCAACGAUCAAUAACCGGGAUGAGAGUCUGAACGGUCACAUUGGGACUGAGACACGGCCCAAACUCCUACGGGAGGCAGCAGUGGGGAAUAUUGCGCAAUGGAGGGAACUCUGACGCAGCAACGCCGCGUGAAGGAAGAAGGCAGUAAUGUUGUAAACUUCUAUCAACAGGGAAGAAGAAAGUGACGGUACCUGAAUAAGAAGCACCGGCUAAAUACGUGCCAGCAGCCGCGGUAAU
Molecule: ribosomal RNA, 466 nt
Filed under: uncultured bacterium
Lineage: Bacteria
Description: bacterial SSU rRNA
Rfam family: Bacterial small subunit ribosomal RNA
Source: RNAcentral